Molecule: transfer RNA, 90 nt
Filed under: Candidatus Berkelbacteria bacterium
Lineage: Bacteria; Candidatus Berkelbacteria
Description: tRNA-Ser
Rfam family: tRNA
About the family: Transfer RNA (tRNA) molecules are approximately 80 nucleotides in length. Their secondary structure includes four short double-helical elements and three loops (D, anti-codon, and T loops). Further hydrogen bonds mediate the characteristic L-shaped molecular structure. tRNAs have two regions of fundamental functional importance: the anti-codon, which is responsible for specific mRNA codon recognition, and the 3' end, to which the tRNAs corresponding amino acid is attached (by aminoacyl-tRNA synthetases). tRNAs cope with the degeneracy of the genetic code in two manners: having more than one tRNA (with a specific anti-codon) for a particular amino acid; and 'wobble' base-pairing, i.e. permitting non-standard base-pairing at the 3rd anti-codon position.
Source: RNAcentral
GGUGGGGUCGCAUAGUGGCCGAGUGCGCCGCCUUGGAAAGGCGGUAGGGGCGCAAGCUCCUCGAGGGUUCGAAUCCCUCCCCCACCGCCA